This 800-nucleotide ribosomal RNA is filed under the name uncultured bacterium. RNAcentral describes it as "bacterial SSU rRNA". It matches the Rfam family "Bacterial small subunit ribosomal RNA", at positions 8 to 806 of the family's 1533-position model. The record is from RNAcentral.
AGAGUUUGAUCCUGGCUCAGAUUGAACGCUGGCGGCAUGCUUUACACAUGCAAGUCGAACGGGGUGGGGGGCAACCCUCAUUCAGUGGCGAACGGGUGAGUAAUGCAUCGGAACGUAUCCCGUAGUGGGGGACAACGCCGCGAAAGCGGCGCUAAUACCGCAUAUGCUCUACGGAGGAAAGUGGGGGACCGCAAGGCCUCACGCUAUGGGAGCGGCCGAUGUCCGAUUAGCUAGUUGGUGGGGUAAUAGCCCACCAAGGCGACGAUCGGUAGCUGGUCUGAGAGGAUGAUCAGCCACACUGGGACUGAGACACGGCCCAGACUCCUACGGGAGGCAGCAGUGGGGAAUUUUGGACAAUGGGGGCAACCCUGAUCCAGCCAUGCCGCGUGCGGGAAGAAGGCCUUCGGGUUGUAAACCGCUUUUAGCCGGGAAGAAAAGGCAUCUCCUAAUACGGGGUGUUCUUGACGGUACCGGCGGAAUAAGCACCGGCUAACUACGUGCCAGCAGCCGCGGUAAUACGUAGGGUGCGAGCGUUAAUCGGAAUUACUGGGCGUAAAGCGUGCGCAGGCGGUUCGUUGUGUCUGAUGUGAAAGCCCCGGGCUCAACCUGGGAAUGGCAUUGGAAACUGGCGAGCUGGAGUGCGGCAGAGGGGGGUGGAAUUCCGCGUGUAGCAGUGAAAUGCGUAGAGAUGCGGAGGAACACCGAUGGCGAAGGCAGCCCCCUGGGCCGACACUGACGCUCAGGCACGAAAGCGUGGGGGAGCAAACAGGAUUAGAUACCCUGGUAGUCCACGCCCUAAA